GACAAGGAGAAUUCCAAAGUGAGAAUGAGGUCCCAUUCUCGAAUAAAUUUCUUUAAGUUCUUCCUCACCCUGCUGACCUGACACAAAAGCCUGGCAGCCUAAAACAAGAGGAAUACAGCUGGUGUGUGGAAUGACUACUGGCCAAUCACCCAUUGUUGGAAUUCCCCAUGCAGAGGUCUGGUGUGUCUUGUUCAAUUUCCUCUUUUCUGAUCCUGAAACUUCCUACGUAAUAAAAAUUUUAAAGUCAA
Molecule: long non-coding RNA, 248 nt
Organism: Mastomys coucha (southern multimammate mouse)
Lineage: Eukaryota; Metazoa; Chordata; Mammalia; Rodentia; Muridae
Exons: 2
Source: RefSeq, a predicted model, not a curated record